Wyeomyia smithii (pitcher-plant mosquito) is the source of this 81-nucleotide small nucleolar RNA. The record is from RefSeq and is a predicted model, not a curated record. NCBI's taxonomy places the organism in Eukaryota, Metazoa, Arthropoda, Insecta, Diptera, Culicidae.
AUUUUAUGAUGAUUAAACUUAAUCACCAUCUUUCGACUGAUUAGUCGUGAUUGUUAAUAUAGUUAGUAACUGAUUCAACGU